ACAGAGGGUGCGAGCGUUAAUCGGAAUUACUGGGCGUAAAGCGAGUGUAGGUGGCUCAUUAAGUCACAUGUGAAAUCCCCGGGCUUAACCUGGGAACUGCAUGUGAUACUGGUGGUGCUAGAAUAUGUGAGAGGGAAGUAGAAUUCCAGGUGUAGCGGUGAAAUGCGUAGAGAUCUGGAGGAAUACCGAUGGCGAAGGCAGCUUCCUGGCAUAAUAUUGACACUGAGAUUCGAAAGCGUGGGUAGCAAACAGGAUUAGAUACCCUGGUAGUCCACGCCGUAAACGAUGUCUACUAGCCGUUGGGGUCCUUGAGACUUUAGUGGCGCAGUUAACGCGAUAAGUAGACCGCCUGGGGAGUACGGCCGCAAGGUUA
Molecule: ribosomal RNA, 373 nt
Filed under: uncultured bacterium
Lineage: Bacteria
Description: bacterial SSU rRNA
Rfam family: Bacterial small subunit ribosomal RNA
Source: RNAcentral